This 464-nucleotide ribosomal RNA is filed under the name Vreelandella stevensii. RNAcentral describes it as "partial 16S ribosomal RNA". It matches the Rfam family "Bacterial small subunit ribosomal RNA", at positions 338 to 795 of the family's 1533-position model. The record is from RNAcentral. Lineage: Bacteria; Pseudomonadati; Pseudomonadota; Gammaproteobacteria; Oceanospirillales; Halomonadaceae.
CCUACGGGUGGCUGCAGUGGGGAAUAUUGGACAAUGGGCGAAAGCCUGAUCCAGCCAUGCCGCGUGUGUGAAGAAGGCCUUCGGGUUGUAAAGCACUUUCAGUGGGGAAGAAAGCCUUGGGGCUAAUACCCUCGAGGAAGGACAUCACCCACAGAAGAAGCACCGGCUAACUCCGUGCCAGCAGCCGCGGUAAUACGGAGGGUGCGAGCGUUAAUCGGAAUUACUGGGCGUAAAGCGCGCGUAGGCGGUCUGAUAAGCCGGUUGUGAAAGCCCCGGGCUCAACCUGGGAACGGCAUCCGGAACUGUCAGGCUAGAGUGCAGGAGAGGAAGGUAGAAUUCCCGGUGUAGCGGUGAAAUGCGUAGAGAUCGGGAGGAAUACCAGUGGCGAAGGCGGCCUUCUGGACUGACACUGACGCUGAGGUGCGAAAGCGUGGGUAGCAACAGGAUUAGAUACCCCAGUAGUC